GCCGGGCGCGGUGGCUCAAGCCUGUAAUCCCAGCACUUUGGGAGGCCAAGGUGGGUGGAUCAUGAGGUCAGGAGCUCAAGACCAGCCUGGCCAACAUAAUGAAACCCCAUCUCNNNNNNNNNNUUUUUGUAUUUUAGUAGAGAUGGGGUUUCAUUAUGUUGGCCAGGCUGGUCUUGAGCUCCUGACCUCAUGAUCCACCCACCUUGGC
RNAcentral lists this non-coding RNA (208 nucleotides) under Chlorocebus sabaeus (green monkey). Lineage: Eukaryota; Metazoa; Chordata; Mammalia; Primates; Cercopithecidae. The record is from Rfam by way of RNAcentral.